CUUUAAUUCAUCUUCACUCUGGUCUCCGCACAACUUAAUGCAGUAGUUUCCUGAUUCAUCUUGAGACUUUUUUUUACUUGUCCUUAGGGAACUUCAUAAAGUUAUUUGUGUGUAUUUCUAUCUGGGGAAUUAUAAACUCCUUGAUAACAGGGAAGAUGGCUAAUUGAAAUGUGUGCACUCUGAUACCUAGCCUAAAGACGGUUAAGCUUGGGGUGCUCAAAAAAUAUUUGUUGGUUUAAGGAAAGAAUGAUGCCUUUGCCCUGAAGACUGAGUAAGACUCAGAGGAAAUAACCAUCCUGACUCUUUGCAACCCCAUGUGGACUGUAGGCUCCUCUGUCCAUGAGAUUUUCCAGGCAAGAAUACUGAAGUGGGUUGCCAUUUUCUCCUCCAGGGGAUUUUCCUGACCAGGGAUUAAAGCUGAGUUUCCUGUGUCACCUGUAUGGCUGGCAGACUCUUUACCCACUGAGCCAUCAGGGAAAGCCCAAUAUCAAAGGCAAAGGUGCCAUAAAAUCGUUUAGAGCAGGCCCCAAAUUUGGAACAUUUCAUUAUUUCAUUUUUCAUCAUUUUGAUAGUCUCUCAGUACCAUGAGAAAUGUCAGGAAAGAUACUCAGCCAAGCUCUUCAUGUGUUCCAAUGUACAAUGGAGCUAAAGCCGAUAAAGUACAAGACUCUUGAGAAUCCCUUGGACUGCAAAGAGAUCCAACCAGUCAAUCCCAAAGUCAGUCCUGAAUAUGCAUUGGAAGGACUGAUGCUGAAGCUGAAACUCCAAUCCUUUGGCCACCUGAUGUGAAGAACUGACUCAUUGGCAGAGACUCCGAUGCUGAAAGAGUGAAGGCCGGAGUAGAAGGGGACGACAGAGGAUGAGAUGGCUGGAUGGCAUCACCGACUCGAUGGACAUGAAUUUGAGUAAGCUCUGGGAGUUGGUGAUGGACAGGGAGGCCUGGCAUGCUGCUGUCCAUGGGGUCGCAAAGAGUUGGACACGACUGAGCAACUGAACUGAAGAUUCCUAUUAUUCAUAUAUAUUUAUAGUGGAGAAGGCAAUGGCACCCCAGUCUAGUACUCUUGCCUGGAGGGUCCCAUGGACGGAAGAGCUUGGUAGGCUGCAGUCCAUGGGGUCGCUAGGAGUCGGACACAACUGAGCGACUUCACUUUCACUUU
Long non-coding RNA from Bos taurus (domestic cattle), 1157 nucleotides. NCBI's taxonomy places the organism in Eukaryota, Metazoa, Chordata, Mammalia, Artiodactyla, Bovidae. The record is from Ensembl.